GGGGUCUACUGCAUAGUCUCAAGAUUAAGCCAUGCAUGUCUAAGCAGAAGCCGCACAACGGUAAAGCCGCGAAUGGCUCAUUACAACAGCCGUCGUUUCUUGGAUCUCUAAUUUUACUUGGAUAACUGUGGUAAUUCUAGAGCUAAUACACGCACUAAAGCUCUGACCUUACGGGACGAGCGCAUUUAUUAGAACAAAACCAAUCGGGUUUCGGCCCGUCCGUUGGUGACUCUGAAUAACUCUGCCGAUCGCACGGUCUCGAACCGGCGACGUAUCUUUCAAGUGUCUGCCUUAUCAACUGUCGAUGGUAGUUUAUGUGCCUACCAUGGUUGUAACGGGUAACGGAGAAUAAGGGUUCGACUCCGGAGAGGGAGCCUGAGAAACGGCUACCACAUCCAAGGAAGGCAGCAGGCGCGCAAAUUACCCACUCUCGGCACGAGGAGGUAGUGACGAAAAAUAACGAGACGGAUCUCUUUGAGGCCCGUUAUCGGAAUGAGAACAAUUCAAAUCCUUUAACGAGGAUCUAGCGGAGGGCAAGUCUGGUGCCAGCAGCCGCGGUAAUUCCAGCUCCGCAGGUGUAUAUCUAUGCUGCUGCGGUUAAAAAGCUCGUAGUUGGAUCUGCGUGCUCGGAACCGGUUGACUCACUGAGUUCUUACUGGUCUCCGGCGCUUUAUUUGCUGGUUUUCCCUUGAUGCUCUUAAUCGGGUGUCUUGGGUGGCUAGCGUGUUUACUUUUGAAAAAAUUAGAGUGCUCAAUACAGGCGCAAAGCCUUGAAUAGUGGUGCAUGGAAUAAUAGAAUAGGACCUCGGCUCUAUUUUGUUGGUUUUCGGAACGCGAGGUAAUGAUUAAGAGGGACAGACGGGGGCAUUUCGUAUUGCGACGUUUAGAGGUGAAAUUUCUGGGAUCGUCGCAAGACGG
This 918-nucleotide ribosomal RNA is filed under the name uncultured eukaryote. RNAcentral's name for it is "SSU rRNA". It matches the Rfam family "Eukaryotic small subunit ribosomal RNA", at positions 20 to 938 of the family's 1831-position model. The record is from RNAcentral.